This 77-nucleotide transfer RNA is filed under the name Candidatus Omnitrophota bacterium. Its description in RNAcentral is "Candidatus Omnitrophica bacterium tRNA-Met". It matches the Rfam family "tRNA". Rfam says of the family: Transfer RNA (tRNA) molecules are approximately 80 nucleotides in length. Lineage: Bacteria; Pseudomonadati; Candidatus Omnitrophota. The record is from RNAcentral.
UGCGGGGUGGAGCAGCCUGGUAGCUCGUUGGGCUCAUAACCCAAAGGUCGUCCGUUCGAAUCGGACCCCCGCUACCA